CUUUCCGAGGAGCGUUGCAAGGCCCGCCGCCGUGUUCGAGCGUGCGUCCCCAGGCUCGGAAUUUGAAUUGCAACCGCGCUCACCCGCA
Molecule: non-coding RNA, 88 nt
Filed under: Rhizobacter sp. Root404
Lineage: Bacteria; Pseudomonadati; Pseudomonadota; Betaproteobacteria; Burkholderiales; Sphaerotilaceae
Also listed under: 1 other name
Description: SAH (S-adenosyl-L-homocysteine) riboswitch aptamer
Rfam family: SAH (S-adenosyl-L-homocysteine) riboswitch aptamer
Source: Rfam by way of RNAcentral